UAAGUAACCUGCCCUUAACUCUGGGAUAACCCCGGGAAACCGGGGCUAAUACCGGAUAUGAGUCCGAGCGGCAUCACGCGGACUGGAAAGUUUUUCGGCGAGAGAUGGGCCCGCGGCCUAUCAGCUUGUUGGUGGGGUGAUGGCCUACCAAGGCGAUGACGGGUAGCCGGCCUGAGAGGGCGACCGGCCACACUGGGACUGAGAUACGGCCCAGACUCCUACGGGAGGCAG
RNAcentral lists this ribosomal RNA (231 nucleotides) under uncultured bacterium. RNAcentral's name for it is "partial 16S ribosomal RNA". It matches the Rfam family "Bacterial small subunit ribosomal RNA", at positions 118 to 351 of the family's 1533-position model. The record is from RNAcentral.